RNAcentral lists this long non-coding RNA (203 nucleotides) under Lathyrus oleraceus (garden pea). RNAcentral's name for it is "Pisum sativum (pea) long non-coding RNA (PSAT_LNC005608)". Lineage: Eukaryota; Viridiplantae; Streptophyta; Magnoliopsida; Fabales; Fabaceae. The record is from RNAcentral.
AAAACAAGAACAUGAUCAUGAAGAAAAAAUGGCACUGAGCUCGAAUCUGACCUCCAAUUAUUCCAAUUCCAAAUAUAUUGAGAGAUAUGUGGAAUUGAAAAUUGAGGUACAUGAACUGAGUUGCUUCGAUUUGACCUCAAAGCAACGCAAUCUCCUUGCCUACAUUGGUAGGACUUCAGACAACCAAAGAAUCAAUAGAAUUG